RNAcentral lists this ribosomal RNA (426 nucleotides) under uncultured Opitutus sp. RNAcentral's name for it is "bacterial SSU rRNA". It matches the Rfam family "Bacterial small subunit ribosomal RNA", at positions 355 to 774 of the family's 1533-position model. The record is from RNAcentral. Lineage: Bacteria; Pseudomonadati; Verrucomicrobiota; Opitutia; Opitutales; Opitutaceae.
UUUCGAAUCAUUCACAAUGGGCGAAAGCCUGAUGGUGCGACGCCGCGUGAGGGAUGAAGGUCUUCGGAUUGUAAACCUCUGUCACCGGGGAAGAAACGCUUCAAGUUAACAGCUUGAAGCCUGACUUAACCCGGAGAGGAAGCAGUGGCUAACUCUGUGCCAGCAGCCGCGGUAAUACAGAGACUGCGAGCGUUAUUCGGAUUCACUGGGCGUAAAGGGUGCGCAGGUGGCUAAGUGUGUUAGGCGUGAAAGCCCGGGGCUUAACCCCGGAAUUGCACCUAAAACUACUUGGCUAGAGCAUUGGAGAGGGGAGCAGAAUUCAUGGUGUAGCAGUGAAAUGCGUAGAUAUCAUGAGGAAUACCAGAGGCGAAGGCGGCUCCCUGGACAAUUGCUGACACUCAGGCACGAAAGCGUGGGGAGCAAAAG